UACGGGGGGAGCAAGCGUUGUUCGGAUUUACUAGGCGUAAAGGGCGCGUAGGCGGCGUGACAAGUCACUUGUGAAAUCUCCGGGCUUAACCCGGAGCGGCCAAGUGAUACUGUCGUGCUAGAGUGCGGAAGGGGCUACUGGAAUUCUCGGUGUAGCGGUGAAAUGCGUAGAUAUCGAGAGGAACACCUGCGGCGAAGGCGGGUAGCUGGGCCGACACUGACGCUGAGGCGCGAAAGCCAGGGGAGCGAACGGG
This 253-nucleotide ribosomal RNA is filed under the name uncultured bacterium. RNAcentral describes it as "partial 16S ribosomal RNA". It matches the Rfam family "Bacterial small subunit ribosomal RNA", at positions 524 to 776 of the family's 1533-position model. The record is from RNAcentral.